GGAGGCAGCAGUAGGGAAUCUUCCGCAAUGGGCGAAAGCCUGACGGAGCAACGCCGCGUGAGUGAUGAAGGUCUUCGGAUCGUAAAACUCUGUUAUUAGGGAAGAACAAGGGUGUAAGUAACUAUGCACCCCUUGACGGUACCUAAUCAGAAAGCCACGGCUAACUACGUGCCAGCAGCCGCGGUAAUACGUAGGUGGCAAGCGUUAUCCGGAAUUAUUGGGCGUAAAGCGCGCGUAGGCGGUUUUUUAAGUCUGA
RNAcentral lists this ribosomal RNA (256 nucleotides) under Staphylococcus simulans. RNAcentral's name for it is "partial 16S ribosomal RNA". It matches the Rfam family "Bacterial small subunit ribosomal RNA", at positions 344 to 592 of the family's 1533-position model. The record is from RNAcentral. Lineage: Bacteria; Bacillati; Bacillota; Bacilli; Caryophanales; Staphylococcaceae.